ACUUUUUUGGAGGAAAACGCGUAUAGCGCAAGAAUAAAUUUCCAUCCUGGUAUCUAUGAUGUCGAGUUGAUUUACAUGAUAAAUUUAUAAACCUCCAUAUUUUGUUAUGAAACUUGUGCAGAAAUUAAAUGAAAAUAUUUGAUUUGUUUAAAUCCUGUAAUGGACUGAUAAAUGAAUAAACUUUUACGGGGAGAAAUUUCAGGCGAAAACCAGGGUUCUAUUUACACAUUUUAAUAUUGCACCUGAACAACUCAGAAAAUUAAUCAAUUCAUGUUCAUUUACGAUUCUAAAUAAACAAUGAAUAGAUUAAACAUAAAAAAUAAGCAUUUUGAAUCUAAAGAAUGUUGUUAUUGAUAUGAGUUUUCAAUGACAGGAAUGGUAUGUCAUUCUCGAUAACUUAAAAACUUCCGGAGGCUUAGCACCCGCUCACCUACUACCAG
This 440-nucleotide long non-coding RNA is filed under the name Mytilus galloprovincialis (Mediterranean mussel). Lineage: Eukaryota; Metazoa; Mollusca; Bivalvia; Mytilida; Mytilidae. The record is from RNAcentral.